AGGACGAACGCUGGCGGCGUGCUUAACACAUGCAAGUCGAGCGGAAAGGCCCUUCGGGGUACUCGAGCGGCGAACGGGUGAGUAACACGUGAGUAAUCUGCCCCUAGCUCUGGGAUAGCUCCGGGAAACCGGGAUUAAUACCGGAUACGACCACCUUAGACAUCUUUUGUGGUGGAAAGAAUUUCGGCUAGGGAUGAGCUCGCGGCCUAUCAGCUUGUUGGUGGGGUAACGGCUACCAAGGCGACGACGGGUA
Molecule: ribosomal RNA, 253 nt
Filed under: uncultured bacterium
Lineage: Bacteria
Description: partial small subunit ribosomal RNA
Rfam family: Bacterial small subunit ribosomal RNA
Source: RNAcentral